This is a long non-coding RNA of Nematostella vectensis (starlet sea anemone), 1084 nucleotides long. RefSeq lists it as uncharacterized. The record is from RefSeq and is a predicted model, not a curated record. Lineage: Eukaryota; Metazoa; Cnidaria; Anthozoa; Actiniaria; Edwardsiidae. The transcript is spliced from 2 exons.
CAUAUCUCACCUCACCACAUCUCAUCUAACCUCACCUCACCUUACCACAUCACACCUCACCUCCGCACACCUCACCACAUCUCACCUCACCCCACCACAUCUCACCACACCUUACCUCACCACAUCUCACCUUACCUCACUUGGUUCACCUUACCUUACCUUUAUAUACAAUCAUUCGUUAAAGCAAGUCAGUCCUGCCCAGCACCUUUCAUUGCUUUGUUUGUCUUUCUCUGUAGGAUUUAUACUUGAAAGGUACUGUAUGUUGAAUUUGAUUUCAAGAGAUAUAUUUUUUUGAAAAUUAUGAACUAAGUUACUAAGUUUGGACCAAUCAGUCAUCUAUUUUUAUGUAAUGCUUGUUGAGACUAAAUUUGUGAUUUCACUUUAGGAUUUUCCCGAAGAAUUUUGAAAUUUGUUGAAGAUGUGAAGGACUGUGAACAAAUGUCCGGAUAAUGGCCGGACAGACGGCAUAUAACUGAUCAAGUGGAUCUUGGAUUAGUGGUUUUAAAAUACUUCUGGACCCGCUACUGCGAACGGAAUACGCUCAUGACCGCAAAUGACCCUCCGAUGGCUGUGCAGUCAACAAUAGUUUCAUGUUUCUGCAAGAGAUAAUGACAGCAUCUCCAACAAACCUUCAAGUACCAUGAUUGAUGACUCUAGAAAGUCUUAAUUCAAGGUGCACUGUUAUUGAAUGACUAUUUCAAAGCCUCGAUCGAUGGCAUUACGUCUUCCGACAGGGCGCACAUUGCUAACCGCAGGAAGAUCUAUCCGUGAGAGUACAAGUAGCGCGCACACCCGCUAAACCGCUAAAUCCGCGAAGUCUUUUUAUAUGACGUCUAUACCUUCGCACAACCACCCCCUACCGCUCAGUAAAUCCUAGCUAGCGCCAGUGAGGCUAACUCGUCACAGUGCAAAGAAAAAGUUCAUAAAUGAAUGCUUCGCCCUCCGGGAUCAAUAUCGCUGCCAAACUUAAAAUACCGUACAAUUAUUAUUAUUUUUUUUAUCUUUAAUAUUAUUUGGACGUCAAUCAAUAUACAAGGACGUUGUAUACAAUUCCAAAUAAAAUCUCUGUCUGUCUCGAUUCAAA